CCCGCCUGCCCUGUGACCAUGUGUUCAACGGCCGCGGUAUUUUGACCGUGCGAAGGUAGCGCAAUCACUUGUCUUUUAAAUGAAGACCUGUAUGAAUGGCAUAACGAGGGCUAAGCUGUCUCCUUUUUCCAGUCAAUGAAAUUGAUCUGCCCGUGCAGAAGCGAGCAUAAGUACAUAAGACGAGAAGACCCUAUGGAGCUUCAGACACCAGGACAGACUGUGUUAAAACCCCUCAAUAAAGAGACCAAACCAAACAGCUUCUCUCCCCCUGUCUUCGGUUGGGGCGACCGCGGGGUAACAAAAAACCCCCACGUGGAACAGAGGAACCCCCUCUUAAAAAUAGGGCCACAACCCUAAUAAACAGAAAAUCUGACCAACAAUGAUCCGGCACUGCCGAUCAACGGACCCAGUUACCCUAGGGAUAACAGCGCAAUCCUCUUCUAGAGCCCAUAUCGACAAGAGGGUUUACGACCUCGAUGUUGGAUCAGGACAUCCUAAUGGUGCAGCCGCUAUUAAGGGUUCGUUUGUUCAACGAUUAAAGUCCUACGUGAUCUG
Molecule: ribosomal RNA, 555 nt
Filed under: Bunaka gyrinoides (greenback gauvina)
Lineage: Eukaryota; Metazoa; Chordata; Actinopteri; Gobiiformes; Eleotridae
Description: partial 16S ribosomal RNA
Rfam family: Bacterial large subunit ribosomal RNA
Source: RNAcentral